Molecule: transfer RNA, 64 nt
Filed under: Camelus bactrianus (Bactrian camel)
Lineage: Eukaryota; Metazoa; Chordata; Mammalia; Artiodactyla; Camelidae
Also listed under: 2 other names
Rfam family: tRNA
About the family: Transfer RNA (tRNA) molecules are approximately 80 nucleotides in length. Their secondary structure includes four short double-helical elements and three loops (D, anti-codon, and T loops). Further hydrogen bonds mediate the characteristic L-shaped molecular structure. tRNAs have two regions of fundamental functional importance: the anti-codon, which is responsible for specific mRNA codon recognition, and the 3' end, to which the tRNAs corresponding amino acid is attached (by aminoacyl-tRNA synthetases). tRNAs cope with the degeneracy of the genetic code in two manners: having more than one tRNA (with a specific anti-codon) for a particular amino acid; and 'wobble' base-pairing, i.e. permitting non-standard base-pairing at the 3rd anti-codon position.
Source: Rfam by way of RNAcentral
GAGGCAAUAGCUCAGUGGUAGAGUGUGUGCUUAACAUGCACUGGGUUCGAUCCCCAGUGCCUCC